Molecule: ribosomal RNA, 270 nt
Rfam family: Bacterial small subunit ribosomal RNA
Source: Rfam
AAGUCGUGGGGCAGCGGAUACUUAGCUUGCUAAGUAUGCCGGCGACCGGCGCACGGGUGAGUAACGCGUACCGAACCUGCCCAUCACACAGGGAUAGGCUUGCGAAAGCAAGAUUAAUAUCUGAUGGUCUCAAUUUUAUGCAUGUAUGAUUGAGUAAAGCCUUCGGGCGGUGAUGGAUGGCGGUGCGUCCCAUUAGGAAGUUGGCGGGGUAACGGCCCACCAAUCCUUCGAUGGGUAGGGGUUCUGAGAGGAAGGUCCCCCACAUUGGNN